AGAGUUUGAUCAUGGCUCAGAUUGAACGCUGGCGGCAUGCCUUACACAUGCAAGUCGAACGGUAACAGCACUUCGGUGGCUGACGAGUGGCGGACGGGUGAGUAAUACAUCGGAACGUGCCCGAUCGUGGGGGAUAACUACUCGAAAGAGUGGCUAAUACCGCAUACGAUCUACGGAUGAAAGCGGGGGAUCGCAAGACCUCGCGCGGACGGAGCGGCCGAUGGCAGAUUAGGUAGUUGGUGGGAUAAAAGCUUACCAAGCCGACGAUCUGUAGCUGGUCUGAGAGGACGACCAGCCACACUGGGACCGAGACACGGCCCAGACUCCUACGGGAGGCAGCAGUGGGGAAUUUUGGACAAUGGGGGAAACCCUGAUCCAGCCAUGCCGCGUGCAGGAUGAAGGCCUUCGGGUUGUAAACUGCUUUUGCACGGAACGAAAAGACUCUUUCUAAUACAGAGGGUCCAUGACGGUACCGUAAGAAUAAGCACCGGCUAACUACGUGCCAGCAGCCGCGGUAAUACGUAGGGUGCAAGCGUUAAUCGGAAUUACUGGGCGUAAAGCGUGCGCAGGCGGUUAUAUAAGACAGAUGUGAAAUCCCCGGGCUCAACCUG
Molecule: ribosomal RNA, 611 nt
Filed under: uncultured Simplicispira sp.
Lineage: Bacteria; Pseudomonadati; Pseudomonadota; Betaproteobacteria; Burkholderiales; Comamonadaceae
Description: bacterial SSU rRNA
Rfam family: Bacterial small subunit ribosomal RNA
Source: RNAcentral